UAAGUAGGGGGCAAGCGUUGUCCGGCAUUACUGGGUGUAAAGGGCGUGUAGGCGACCCCUUAAGUUGAAUGUGAAAUCUCCCGGCUCAACUGGGAGGAGUCAUUCAAUACUGAGGGGAUAUGAGGACAGAAGAGGGAAGUGGAAUUCCCGGUGUAGCGGUAAAAUGCGUAGAUAUCGGGAGGAACACCAGUGGCGAAGGCGGCUUCCUGGUCUGUCCAUGAAGCGGAUGCGCGAAAGCCAGGGGAGCACACGGGAUUCGAUAACACCGUAGUCC
Molecule: ribosomal RNA, 274 nt
Filed under: uncultured bacterium
Lineage: Bacteria
Description: partial 16S ribosomal RNA
Rfam family: Bacterial small subunit ribosomal RNA
Source: RNAcentral